Molecule: ribosomal RNA, 413 nt
Filed under: uncultured bacterium
Lineage: Bacteria
Description: bacterial SSU rRNA
Rfam family: Bacterial small subunit ribosomal RNA
Source: RNAcentral
GUGUCAGCAGCCGCGGUAAUACGUAGGGUGCGAGCGUUGUCCGGAAUUAUUGGGCGUAAAGAGCUCGUAGGCGGUUUGUCGCGUCGACUGUGAAAACCUACAGCUUAACUGUGGGCUUGCAGUCGAUACGGGCAGACUUGAGUUCGGUAGGGGAGACUGGAAUUCCUGGUGUAGCGGUGAAAUGCGCAGAUAUCAGGAGGAACACCGGUGGCGAAGGCGGGUCUCUGGGCCGAUACUGACGCUGAGGAGCGAAAGCGUGGGGAGCGAACAGGAUUAGAUACCCUGGUAGUCCACGCCGUAAACGGUGGGAACUAGGUGUGGGGGGCUUCCACGUCCUCCGUGCCGUAGCUAACGCAUUAAGUUCCCCGCCUGGGGAGUACGGCCGCAAGGCUAAAACUCAAAGGAAUUGACGG